AUUCCAGCUCCAAUAGCGUAUAUUAAAGUUGUUGCAGUUAAAAAGCUCGUAUUUGAAUUUUUGUCUGUUGGGGCCUUGUUCUGUCCUUAGUGGCGGAGUUUAGUGUCCCGACGGACUUCCUGGGGGCCAACUAGUUGGUGUUUCAUUACACUGAUUAGGGAACCCCCUCGUUUACUGUGAAAAAAUUAGAGUGUUUCAAGCAGGCGUUUCGCAUUGAAUACAUUAGCAUGGAAUAAUAAGAUAGGACUUUGGUGCUAUUUUGUUGGUUUGCACACCAAGGUAAUGAUUAAGAGGGACAGUUGGGGGUAUUCGUAUUAUCAUGUCAGAGGUGAAAUUCUUGGAUUUUUGAAAGACGAACUUCUGCGAAAGCAUUUGCCAAGGAUGUUUUCAUUG
RNAcentral lists this ribosomal RNA (393 nucleotides) under Labyrinthulaceae sp. RNAcentral's name for it is "partial small subunit ribosomal RNA". It matches the Rfam family "Eukaryotic small subunit ribosomal RNA", at positions 582 to 975 of the family's 1831-position model. Lineage: Eukaryota; Bigyra; Labyrinthulida; Labyrinthulaceae. The record is from RNAcentral.